This 402-nucleotide ribosomal RNA is filed under the name uncultured Adlercreutzia sp. Its description in RNAcentral is "bacterial SSU rRNA". It matches the Rfam family "Bacterial small subunit ribosomal RNA", at positions 355 to 774 of the family's 1533-position model. Lineage: Bacteria; Bacillati; Actinomycetota; Coriobacteriia; Eggerthellales; Eggerthellaceae. The record is from RNAcentral.
UGGGGAAUUUUGCGCAAUGGGGGAAACCCUGACGCAGCAACGCCGCGUGCGGGACGAAGGCCCUCGGGUUGUAAACCGCUUUCAGCAGGGAAGAUCCAAGACGGUACCUGCAGAAGAAGCUCCGGCUAACUACGUGCCAGCAGCCGCGGUAAUACGUAGGGGGCGAGCGUUAUCCGGAUUCAUUGGGCGUAAAGCGCGCGUAGGCGGCCGCCUAAGCGGGACCUCUAACCCCGGGGCUCAACCCCGGGCCGGGUCCCGGACUGGGCGGCUCGAGUGCGGUAGAGGAGAGCGGAAUUCCCGGUGUAGCGGUGGAAUGCGCAGAUAUCGGGAAGAACACCGAUGGCGAAGGCAGCUCUCUGGGCCGUCACUGACGCUGAGGCGCGAAAGCUGGGGGAGCGAACA